RNAcentral lists this long non-coding RNA (707 nucleotides) under Cyanistes caeruleus (blue tit). RNAcentral's name for it is "lncRNA (ENSCCEG00000004611.1)". Lineage: Eukaryota; Metazoa; Chordata; Aves; Passeriformes; Paridae. The record is from RNAcentral.
AUGAUUUUCCCCAAUUUUGGGUCACCCAGUCCCGGUGUUUGUCAGAUUUCGGGUGUUUUUGUCCAAUUUUGGGUGUUUUUGUCCCAGAUUUUGGGUGUUUCAGUCGAAUUUUGGGUGUUUCAGUCCAAUUUUGGGUGUUUUUGUCCAAUUUUGGUUGUUUUUGUCCCAGAUUUCGGUUGUUUCAGUCCGAUUUUGGGUGUUUUUGUCCCAGAUUUUGGCUGUUUUUGUCCAAUUUCGGGUGUUUCAGUCCAAUUUGGGGUGUUUCAGUCCGAUUUUGGGUGUUUUUGUCCCAGAUUUCAGUUGUUUUUGUCCAAUUUCGGUUGUUUUUGUCCCAGAUUUCAGUUGUUUUUGUCCAAUUUCGGUUGUUUCAGUCGGAUUUGGGGUGUUUCAGUCGGAUUUCGGGUGUUUUUUGUCCAAUUUCGGGUGUUUUUGUCCCAGAUUCAGCCACAGCAGCGCCAGGUUAACCCCGUAGGUGCUGACACAAACCACGCACAGCUCCUGACCCCAAACCCCGGGGUUUCAGUCGGAUUUGGGGUGUUUCAGUCAGAUUUCGGCUGUUUUUGUCCAAUUUCGGGUGUUUCAGUCGGAUUUGGGCUGUUUUUGUCCCAGAUUACGGUUGUUUCAGUCGGAUUUGGGGUGUUUUUGGGUGAGAUUCAGCCCCAGCAGCGCCAGGUUAACCCCGUAGGUGCUGACACAAACCACGCACA